RNAcentral lists this ribosomal RNA (138 nucleotides) under uncultured bacterium. RNAcentral describes it as "partial 16S ribosomal RNA". It matches the Rfam family "Bacterial small subunit ribosomal RNA", at positions 355 to 509 of the family's 1533-position model. The record is from RNAcentral.
UGGGGAAUAUUGCACAAUGGGGGAAACCCUGAUGCAGCAACGCCGCGUGAGUGAAGAAGUAUUUCGGUAUGUAAAGCUCUAUCAGCAGGGAAGAAAAUGACAGUACCUGACUAAGAAGCCCCGGCUAACUACGUCGCC